RNAcentral lists this ribosomal RNA (253 nucleotides) under uncultured bacterium. Its description in RNAcentral is "partial 16S ribosomal RNA". It matches the Rfam family "Bacterial small subunit ribosomal RNA", at positions 524 to 776 of the family's 1533-position model. The record is from RNAcentral.
GACAGAGGUGCCAAGCGUUAGGCGGAAUCACUGGGCUUAAAGCGUGUGUAGGCGGAUCGUUAAGUACCUUGUGAAAUCCCCCGGCUUAACCGGGGAACUGCUGGGUAUACUGGCGAUCUUGAGCCACCUAGGGGCGAGCGGAACAAAUGGUGGAGCGGUGAAAUGCGUAGAUAUCAUUUGGAACGCCAACGGUGAAAACAGCUCGCUGGGGGUGUGCUGACGCUGAGACACGAAAGCCAGGGGAGCGAACGGG